This 29-nucleotide ribosomal RNA is filed under the name Plumbago auriculata (Cape leadwort). RNAcentral's name for it is "partial 26S ribosomal RNA". The record is from RNAcentral. Lineage: Eukaryota; Viridiplantae; Streptophyta; Magnoliopsida; Caryophyllales; Plumbaginaceae.
CACCCAUGCGACCUCGCAGGUACAGAAAG